RNAcentral lists this unclassified non-coding RNA (397 nucleotides) under uncultured fungus. RNAcentral's name for it is "partial contains small subunit ribosomal RNA, internal transcribed spacer 1, and 5.8S ribosomal RNA". The stretch from base 1 to 73 matches the Rfam family "Eukaryotic small subunit ribosomal RNA", at positions 1759 to 1831 of the family's 1831-position model. The record is from RNAcentral. Lineage: Eukaryota; Fungi.
GCAAACUUGGUCAUUUAGAGGAAGUACAAGUCGUAACAAGGUUUCCGUAGGUGAACCUGCGGAAGGAUCAUUACACGGCGGUUGGUCGGUCGCGUGGCGGGCCGUGUCGUGUCAUGGUGUAUGGUCAUGCAGAUCAUGGCAUGCGGGUCAUGGUCGUGUAUCGUGUCAUGGCAUGGCAGGUCACGAUUGAUUGACAUUUACUACUUACAAGUGCUCUGGCGGCUGGCCGGGAUGCAUGCUGGCGGCGCGGGCGGGUAUGGAUGCCUGCCGGUGCUGCCAUCUUCAAUAUUCUAUUCUAUUCUAUUAUUGUUGUUGUUGUUGUUGCAUAUAAAAGAGGGAAUGGCAAAACACUUUUAACAAUGGAUCUCUAGGCUCUUGCAUCGAUGAAGAACGCAGC